This 271-nucleotide unclassified non-coding RNA is filed under the name Hevea brasiliensis (rubber tree). Lineage: Eukaryota; Viridiplantae; Streptophyta; Magnoliopsida; Malpighiales; Euphorbiaceae. The record is from RNAcentral.
GGCGGGUCCAAGAAGCCACGAGAUUGCAACCCCACCUAGAAACCCUCCAAGAUGUCCCCAGUUAUCGAUGCCUCUAGACAUUAUCCCAAUAGCCAUAUUUAAGAUUAUUAUUUGAGAGAUGUGCUGAAGAUCUUCUUUGCCUCUACCGACUAGUUUUCUAUGUCUUGCAACAAACACAGCAAAGGAUCCAACCAAUCCAAAGAUUGCUCCUGAUGCACCAAUCGAAGGUGCCUUGCAGAACCAAUAACUCAUGGAUGAACUUGCAAUUGCC